CGAGAAGCUGAUAAAAGACGAUGGUUCAAAAAGGGUGGAUGAAUCAUUGUACAAAAGUAUCGUUGAAAGCCUCUUGUAUCUCACUACUACAAGGCCUGAUAUUAUGUUUGCUGCAAGUUUACUCUCGAGAUUCAUGAAUUGUCCAAAGCAAACUCACUUAGGAGUUGCAAAAAGGGUGUUACGAUACAUCCAAGGAUCAUUGGAUUAUGGAAUCAUGUAUACUUCUAUUCCAAACUCAAAAUUGGUAGGAUAUACAGAUAGUGAUUGGGCAGGAUCCAUAGAUGAUAUGAAAAGCACAUCGGCAUACACUUUCCCUCUUGGAUCUGGGAUAAUUUCUUGGGCGUCAAAAAAACAAAGUACCGUUGCUCAAUCUACAGCAGAAGCAAAGUAUGUGGCGGCAUCUCUUGCAGUUUCUCAAGCAAUAUGGUUACGAAGAAUUCUUGAAGAUAUUGGCGAAAAGCAAAAUGAAGGAACUACUAUAUAUUGCGACAACAUGUCAACAAUUUCAAUUGCAAAAAAUCCAGUAUCUGACAACAAGACGAAGCAUAUUGCUAUCAAGCAUUACUUCAUUCGCGAAGUUAUUGAGAGUGGCGAGAUCAAGUUGACGUAUUGCAAGACGAAUGAACAAAUGGCUGACAUAUUCACCAAGAUACUCCCUAAAGAAAGUUUUUGUCAUCUUCGAGAGAUGUUGGGAGUAAUUCAAAAAGUGCAUUAAGGGGGAGUGUUGAAUUACUGCACUUUUGUGAAAAGUCCCUUAGUUGAAAAGGUUCAUGUCUCUUUG
Magnolia sinica is the source of this 781-nucleotide long non-coding RNA. RefSeq lists it as uncharacterized. The record is from RefSeq and is a predicted model, not a curated record. Lineage: Eukaryota; Viridiplantae; Streptophyta; Magnoliopsida; Magnoliales; Magnoliaceae. The transcript has 3 exons.